ACUUGUAUAGCUUAAUUUUAAAGCAUAGCACUGAAAAUGCUAAAAUGAAUUUAAAAACUCUACUAGUA
RNAcentral lists this transfer RNA (68 nucleotides) under Synapturanus sp. MNHN-RA-2020.0087. RNAcentral's name for it is "tRNA-Phe". It matches the Rfam family "tRNA". From Rfam's summary of the family: Transfer RNA (tRNA) molecules are approximately 80 nucleotides in length. Their secondary structure includes four short double-helical elements and three loops (D, anti-codon, and T loops). The record is from RNAcentral. Lineage: Eukaryota; Metazoa; Chordata; Amphibia; Anura; Microhylidae.